UACGUAGGGUGCGAGCGUUAAUCGGAAUUACUGGGCGUAAAGCGUGCGCAGGCGGUUUUGUAAGCCAGGUGUGAAAUCCCCGGGCUCAACCUGGGAACUGCAUUUGGGACUACAAGGCUAGAGUGUGUCAGAGGGGGGUAGAAUUCCACGUGUAGCAGUGAAAUGCGUAGAGAUGUGGAGGAACACCGAUGGCGAAGGCAGCCCCCUGGGCCAGUACUGACGCUCAUGCACGAAAGCGUGGGGAGCAAACAGG
Molecule: ribosomal RNA, 253 nt
Filed under: uncultured bacterium
Lineage: Bacteria
Description: partial 16S ribosomal RNA
Rfam family: Bacterial small subunit ribosomal RNA
Source: RNAcentral